UGGGAUUCUCUCUCUCUGCACCGCACCCCUCCAAAUAAAUAAACUUUAAAAAAAAAAGUAUAAUUUCAUAUUUGAUAAGAAAAUAAAGCAAGGUGAGAAGUUAAAGAGUGAUAGAAGGAGAGUGUUUAAAAUGGUCAUGAAAGUUGUUUUGGAGAAGGUGAAGUAUCAAGGAAUGAUCCAUAUAAAGAUAUGGGGUAAGAGCUUCCGUUGGCAAAGGAAGUAGCAAGUAUAAAGGCCUUGGGGUGUAAGCUUAGGAUUGAGGGGUCAUAUGAAGCCUCUCUUUAGUAGUGACAUUUAUAAAGAGAUCUGAAAGGUGAAUAUGGAUUAGCCCUUAGGACAGUGAAGGAGUGAGGAGGAAGCAGUUUAUGCUGAAAAAACAACAAUGGUUGCCAACUUAGAAGAGUUUGACAUAUUCGAGGAAGAAGUCAUUUCCCAGUAAGGGGGAUGAAUAGUACAACAUGAAGCCUUUGAAGACCAUGUUCUCUGAAGGAGAGUUUUAAGCAAGGAAAUGAUAUGAUCAGAUAUGUCUUUGAAAAGAUCACUUUUGUGAAGGUGGUUGGACAGGGCGGGGGUAGAAGUAGGAAGGAAUGGAAAAGAAAAAGUAGUCUGGGCAAAACAUGAUUGGUUGAGACCACAUUGGUGACAGUACAAAUAGAAAUAGAUAAGUAUGGGAUAUUUUUAAUUCACAAGAUCUUGCUUUUGGUGUUUUAUGUAAGAAAUCUUUGUCUAACCCAAGAUUCCAAAAGCUUCCUCAUAUGUUUUCAUUAGAAGUUUUAUAGUUUUAUUUGUUGCAAGCUAUGGAUCAGAGAUUUUUUUGUAUCUUUAUUUUUUUGGUUGUUGCUUUUUCUUUCUUAGCAUAUGGAUAUCCAUUCAUCCCAGAACCACUUGUUGAAAAGAUUAUCCUUUCUCCUCUGAAUUGCCUUUACACUUUUGUUGAAAAUUAAUGAAUUGUAUAUGUGUAGGUCAAUUUCCAGACUGUUCUGUUCCAAUGAUCUUUUUGUGUACCUUUAUACAAUACCAUCCUGUCUUGACUAGUAUUGUUUAUGUUGUCAUAAAAUCAUAAAAUAUAAGUCUUGCAACUUUGUUCUAUUUCAUAAUUAUCUUGGCUAUUCUAAACCCUUUGCAUUUUCAUAUAUGCACAUUUUAGAAUCAGCUUGUCAAUUUCUGAUUGAGAUUGUACUGAAUCUGCAGUUCAGUUUAGGGAGAGUUAACGACUUAUCAAUGCUGAGUCCUUAAAUUCAUGAGCACAGUUUAUCUCUCUACUUUUCAGGUCCUUUUAAAUUUCUCCUACCAAUGUUUUAUAGCUUUCAGUGUGCAAGUAUUCUACACAUUAGUCCAGUUUAUGCCCAUGUGUUUCAUAUUUUUAAAGCUGUUACAAAUGGUAGUUUUUUUAAGUUAAACUUAAAAAAAGUAAAAGCAUUAUGUUUGCUCUACUGUAUCCCCAUCUAAGUCCUUGGAAGCUUUUAUGGUUGACUUCAAUACUAAAAUUAAGGUCUUUGAAGAUGUACAAGUAAAAAGUUUUUAAAAGUAAUCAGUAGACAUUUAAUUGCCAUUGAUUUCUGGUAGUAUUUAUUAUGUAAUAGUAUAAAAUCACAUCUAUUCAAACCUCUAAUUUGAAUAUGUAAAAAAUAUAUAUUGUGAGGAACUCCUACUCUCAAUUUCCAUUAGUUUCAGUCCUGCGUCUACCUCUUUUAGAGGGUAGGGACUGCUUUAUCACCAAGUUGAUCCUAAAACCAAGGCCCAGGGUCCCGCACCCUUAGCAAAAUAAAUAAUAUAGUGGAAUAAGUGAAUAAACAUCUGCCUUGAUGCUAAUCCUCUUGCUAUCUCUUCUCAAAGUGUGGUCUCUGGAGGUCCAUGAUAUAGUUCAUUUGGUUUGUGAAGUAAAGGACAUUUUCAUAAUAAUACUAAGACUUGAUUUACUUUUUUCACUAUGUUGAUAUUUGCACAGAUUGGGCAAGAGAAAUAGUGGGUAAAACCUGUGGGUGCCAACAUAUGAAUCAAGGUAGUGGCACCAAAUUGUUAGUAAGAGUCAUUGUAUUCUUCAUGGCCAUGCAGACUCAGUUUAAAAAAAAAAAAGGGAAAGAAAAACCAAUGUCAUUUAAGAAUGUCUUUAUGAAACAGUAAAAAUUAUUCAUUUUAUUAAAUUUUAAUCUUGGAGUGCACAUUCUAAUAUUCUGUGUUAGGAAGUUUGCCUGAAACACUUCUGCUGCUCAUGUAGGUAUUACCAUUAUCUCCAAAAAAAAAAAAAAAAAGGACUUGCUCUAUUGUUUGGGUUGUAA
Long non-coding RNA from Herpailurus yagouaroundi (jaguarundi), 2279 nucleotides. RefSeq lists it as uncharacterized. The record is from RefSeq and is a predicted model, not a curated record. Lineage: Eukaryota; Metazoa; Chordata; Mammalia; Carnivora; Felidae. The transcript is spliced from 2 exons.